CCUCCAUCCACUGCAAAUGCUGCAGUUGUGUCAGAAAACUUCUCACCACUAAGGAAAGGCUGGUGAAUAUUUUGUUCUAAACUGUCCUCCAUACAAUCCCAUACAGUACAAAUCACUAAAAACAUGUGAGCCGUGGGUCUCAUCCAAAACCAAUUUUAGUUAAUGGAAAGAAUCUUUCUGACUCUAAUGGGCUUGGAUCCAUCCUUUUGUCAUUUGGAUUUCUACACCCAUGAAGAACAUAAGGCUGCCUCAUGAACUGACAGGCACCGCAAACUAGAGUCAAACUGACCUUUAUGCUCCAGGAAUACAGUUUCCAGGAAUACUUAGUUGUUAAAUGUAUUGGUACAAAAAGAGCUUUUGUGAGAUGCCUUUCCUUCAAAGACAGGUAGGACUCAAGACUUUCAGAGCUGGUUCAAGUUUAUCAGCAGUAUGAAUAACAGAAGAGACUACCAGUAGAGGACCCCUGGAAAACAAGAUUUGCUGUUGCUAUUUUUCCUUCAUUCCACACCAUAACAUCCUUCCUUGGCAGUAGCCAGCCUGGCUUUUCCUCCUGUACAGCGGGAGGAGAAACCAUCUCUGUUCUGCUGCUGCAAUUGCUUUUUGCCACUUUACACAACUCCAUCCAAGCCAAGAAUCCAGCCAAUCUAUCCUCCCACUUGGAAGUAAGAAUCCAAAAGGGAUGAGAAUAGCAAGCCUUUGCUACAAGAUAUGUUCAGUUUGUAUUGAAAAUACUUCCCAAACGGAGACAUAGACGUCACUGUGCUACUUCUACUAGUAUGUAGCCUGAUUCUUACCUUCGUACAUUUCUGCACACUCAAAAAGCUGAAGACUGAUUUUUGGCACUUAGUACUGGACUGCAAAAAGUUCAGGAAUACAACCAUAUAUUAUACAAUAUUAUACAUAUUAUAAAAUGCGUCAUUAGUCUUCAUUGUUAUUAUUACUAUUUUAAUACUAUGAGAGAAAUAUCUAUGUUACACAGACAUUCUAUGCCACUAUAUCAUUACUAAGAAUAUUAAGGUACCUCUAAAGUAAACUGUAAAAGGUCAUUUUUCACAUCACAUUCAUUUCUCAAUAUUUUAGCAAGUGCGUUUUGAGCUCAUGUUGCCAUUCCCCAAAACAUCCACACAGGAGAUGUAAAACAUUCCAGUAUAUCUGGUUGUUGCUACCAGAUGCUCUGUGUGGGAAACGUAGAAUGUUAUUUAAUACUUCCUCAGAGAUGGCAAACAGAUGGUUUAAUGCACUCUUGAAAUGUUUGUGCUUGAGAUCCAAUUAUUUUUGUUCAGUUAACUGUCAACUUUCAGGGUAGAAUGAUGUAACAUUCCUCAUCUUAGGGCCAUAGACUGUAGCAGUCUAACAUAUAAACACUGUUAUACAGCUUGUUUAAGAUUUU
This is a long non-coding RNA of Falco peregrinus (peregrine falcon), 1390 nucleotides long. RefSeq lists it as uncharacterized. The record is from RefSeq and is a predicted model, not a curated record. The transcript is spliced from 6 exons. NCBI's taxonomy places the organism in Eukaryota, Metazoa, Chordata, Aves, Falconiformes, Falconidae.